UAUGACUAGACGAAGGUAUAAAUGGGAGCUUUAAGAUGGAUUGUUGAUGGCAUUGACAAGAACUUCAGAGUCCGACUCAAAGAUGACAUCUGUGAACUUACAAUUUUGGGCGAGAGAGAGAGCAUUCAAAGCUGCAGUGGCUUCCACCUCCAACGUCAAAUGGGCCGUCGAAGCGGAGGCUACCCCCGAGAUCAAGUACACAUCUGAUUUUCUUGCAAUUACUCUAAUUCCUGCAUUCAUAUUUUCAUAAUUUCACGCUCCAUCAAAGUUUUAUUUUAUUUUUUAUUAUUCCAUGAGGAGGGAGCAGCCAAGAUGAUGUGUUAGGAGGGUGGUGAUAGGGCUCGGAGAUAGAAGUGGUGAUCUGGAUUGGGGGGUGGGACUGAUAUUGAGGCUUAGUGGGUUGAAAGUGGAGAUGGGAAAUUGGUUGAUUGUUAUGAAUGCCUGGGUAUUGGGAUGCAUGUUGUUGCAAGGAGACAUGAUGCUUUGAUGACAAUCUUUUUAGUAAUCUAUAUUCUAGCCUUUGUAUCGUGAAUAUCAAGGCUUUCCAUAAAACACAACACUUUCCUUUAAGACAGUUACAGAGGAUCGAUAUUGUCUAAUCCUUCGUUUAUUAAAGGAAAAAAAAAAAAAAAACAAUUGAUUGUAACUUUGAGUAAGUUUGUCUUGAGAUUAAAUGUUGAAAGCUCAACCUCUAUAAUUCCACAACCCUAAAUUUUAAUACUUCUCAUGUUUAAACAG
RNAcentral lists this long non-coding RNA (738 nucleotides) under Fragaria vesca (wild strawberry). RNAcentral describes it as "long non-coding RNA (FVES_LNC002998)". The record is from RNAcentral. Lineage: Eukaryota; Viridiplantae; Streptophyta; Magnoliopsida; Rosales; Rosaceae.